GACGAACGCUGGCGGCGUGCUUAACACAUGCAAGUCGAACGGAAAGGCCCUGCUUUUGUGGGGUGCUCGAGUGGCGAACGGGUGAGUAACACGUGAGUAACCUGCCCUUGACUUUGGGAUAACUUCAGGAAACUGGGGCUAAUACCGGAUAGGAGCUCCUGCUGCAUGGUGGGGGUUGGAAAGUUUCGGCGGUUGGGGAUGGACUCGCGGCUUAUCAGCUUGUUGGUGGGGUAGUGGCUUACCAAGGCUUUGACGGGUAGCCGGCCUGAGAGGGUGACCGGCCACAUUGGGACUGAGAUACGGCCCAGACUCCUACGGGAGGCAGCAGUGGGGAAUAUUGCAAAAUGGGCGGAAGCGUGAUGCAGCAACGCCGCGUGCGGGAUGACGGCCUUCGGGUUGUAAACCGCUUUCGCCUGUGACGAAGCGUGAGUGACGGUAAUGGGUAAAGAAGCACCGGCCAAAUACG
Molecule: ribosomal RNA, 466 nt
Filed under: uncultured bacterium
Lineage: Bacteria
Description: partial 16S ribosomal RNA
Rfam family: Bacterial small subunit ribosomal RNA
Source: RNAcentral